This 531-nucleotide ribosomal RNA is filed under the name uncultured bacterium. RNAcentral's name for it is "bacterial SSU rRNA". It matches the Rfam family "Bacterial small subunit ribosomal RNA", at positions 791 to 1310 of the family's 1533-position model. The record is from RNAcentral.
UAGUCCACGCUGUAAACGAUGAGAACUAGGUGUAGUGGGUAUUGACCCCUGCUGUGCCGAAGUUAACGCAUUAAGUUCUCCGCCUGGGGAGUACGGCCGCAAGGCUAAAACUCAAAGGAAUUGACGGGGGCCCGGCACAAGCGGUGGAGCAUGUGGUUUAAUUCGACGCAACGCGAAGAACCUUACCUGGGUUUGUACAUCCUCUGAUCGUCUGGGAAACCAGAUUUUUCCGGUCUUUGUCGGAACAGAGUGACAGGUGCUGCAUGGCUGUCGUCAGCUCGUGUCGUGAGAUGUUGGGUUAAGUCCCGCAACGAGCGUAACCCUUGUCUUUAGUUGCCAUUAUUAAGUUAGGCACUCUAAAAGAGACUGCCUCGGUUAAACGGGGGAGGAAGGUGGGGGAUGACGUCAAGUCCUCAUGGCCUUUAUAUCCAGGGCUACACACGUGCUACAAUGGGCUGUACAAAGGGUUGCUAUCCCGCGAGGGGGCGCUAAUCCCAAAAAGCAGUUCUCAGUUCGGAUUGAAGUCUGCAA